AUGAGUAACACAACCAUCCCAAUAAUGAACUGGAAUGUCCGCGGAUUGAACUCUCCGGCGAAGAGGGCCACCAUCUGCGAAGUGGCCGACGCCCACAGCCUAGCUCUAUUGUGUUUGCAAGAGAUGAAGAUCGACGCCUGGUCGCAGAUAGUCAGGGAGGUAGGAGGCCGCAGACUCGACAACUGCGCCGUGCUGCCGGCGUUGGGCACCCGGGGCGGCGCUGCAAUCUUUUGGGACUCCACCAAGAUCACAAUCGCCACUCAAUCGGUAGGGCAAAUCUCCAUCACCGCCAGAGCAUUUCUCCCUCACGGAGGCCUCUCCUUUUGGAUCACAACUAUCUAUGGCCCGACCGACGACACCAGAAAGGAAGAAUUCCUCGAGGAGCUGAGCAGAAGUAGGCCACCCCUUGGCGAGCCGUGGCUGAUCAACGGUGACUUUAACAUCAUCUACGAGGCAAGAGACAAGAGCAACCAUAACAUCAACAGAAGGGUGAUGAGCAGAUUCAGAGAUGCAAUCGACCGGGCUUGCUUGCGAGAGAUAAAAUGCAAAAACACGCGCUUCACCUGGAGCAAUGAGAGGGAGAACCCAACUUUUGUCGCCAUCGACAAAGUUUUCUGCAACCGAGAAUGGGAGACACUCUUCCCCUCCUACACCCUUAUGGUUGCAUCGACAUCCUACUCUGAUCACUGCCCCUUGUUGCUCACGGAUGUCGCGGCGCCGCCGUGCAAAGCAGUUUUCAAAUUUAAAUCCUUCUGGCCAAAGUUCCCGCAUUUUCAGCAGACAGUCCGGAGGGCAUGGCAGAGACCAGUAAACCACUGA
This 819-nucleotide ribosomal RNA is filed under the name Triticum aestivum (bread wheat). Its description in RNAcentral is "partial small subunit ribosomal RNA". Lineage: Eukaryota; Viridiplantae; Streptophyta; Magnoliopsida; Poales; Poaceae. The record is from RNAcentral.